This is a long non-coding RNA of Girardinichthys multiradiatus, 1229 nucleotides long. RefSeq lists it as uncharacterized. The record is from RefSeq and is a predicted model, not a curated record. The transcript is spliced from 4 exons. Lineage: Eukaryota; Metazoa; Chordata; Actinopteri; Cyprinodontiformes; Goodeidae.
UCGUGUUUUAUCACUCAAACAGUAGUUCGUUGUUGUGUCAUUAGCUAGCUGCUAGCUAAAAACUUUGCCUCUUCCCCUUAGCGAUGACAACAGCUGUCACUCAGCAGUAUUACUGUAAUAUUGGUAGAAGAGCUACUGUAAGGAGAUGUGUUGUUACAUGUCUGCUGGACUGUGUGUUUUUCUCCCCCCUUGUGUCUCCUGUCUCUCACAGGUUCAGAGUGCAGGGUGAUGCCAAUUUGCCUUGAUUGGCUUGAGGGAGCCGAUCAGGCAGCUCUACAUAAACUGCUCACCUGUAGGGCAGGGGGUGUGGCUUCACCUGGCUGGCUUUUUGGCACAUGCUUUGUUCUUCAGCAUUGUUUCAAGGUGCCUGCAGUGGCUGGCAGUGUGCUGCCACUCCGGCUUUCCCGAUUUAAUCCUGGUGCCCUCUCUGAGCCUCUUUGCCCUGUCCGAGCGCUUGAGGCGUAUGUCUGUUCCACGGCACCCAUUCGUCGGACUGACUGUCUCUUCAUUUGUUAUGCUGGCUCUCGGAAAGGAUCAGCCCCUGCCGAGCAGCGUGCGCUGACACUCCACUAGGAGCCUCUCCACCUCGUGGGCUGCCAUGACCGGGGUGCCUCUGGAGGCCAUUUGUGAAGCUGCUUCCUGGACGGUGCCAAGCACCUUUGCCAAGUUUUACAGGGUGAACGUCGCCACGCCGCAUCCCCUACAGGGAAUACUGGAGCAACCGCCUUCUGCAUUCCGCUGAGAAAAAUAUGCAAUAGCGAGUGUGGAGGAGAUAUGAGCCACAGACAUCCAAAGGCCCCUCCAGAGCACAAGAACCCCAGGAGAACCACCGCCGACACUACUGCAACCCCCUCCAGAGAAGUGCAGAGGAGAGCCCCAGGGGAACCACCCAGCAGCCACAGUGCAGAAGCCCCAGGGAGCUAGAGCGACGAGCCCAAAGGCCCGGCCGACAAAUGUCUGCGCCCGAGCAGAUCCAGCCAUGGACAACAGAGACCCAAGACCCCGGGACAUAUCACUCCCCAAGCAGGGGCCCGACAGAGCGCAGGGGUCCAGGUCAUGGCAAGCAGCCACCGGGAGUGAGCCAGUACAUAUCAAAGUACCCAGUCCCGGACACCGAGAACCACAAGUACACCAGCGGGCAGAGACAACAACCACCGGCAGGUAGUGUGGCGAGGAGGAAAUAGGCCCCACACUUGAUGGGGGGCCUAAACUAAUUCAGGAGAGGGAGC